GCAGCUGUUGCUGCUGCUGCUGCGAUUGCUGCUGCUGCUGUUGCAAUUGUAGUUGCUGCUGCUGUUGCUGCUGCUGCUGCUGCUGC
Molecule: small RNA, 86 nt
Filed under: Drosophila guanche
Lineage: Eukaryota; Metazoa; Arthropoda; Insecta; Diptera; Drosophilidae
Source: RNAcentral